AUUGAACGCUGGCGGCAGGCUUAACACAUGCAAGUCGAACGGGCACCUUCGGGUGUCAGUGGCAGACGGGUGAGUAACGCGUGGGAACGUACCCUUCGGUUCGGAAUAACCCAGGGAAACUUGGGCUAACACCGGAUACGUCCGCAAGGAGAAAGAUUUAUCGCCGAAGGAUCGGCCCGCGUCGGAUUAGCUAGUUGGUGGGGUAAUGGCCCACCAAGGCGACGAUCCGUAGCUGGUUUGAGAGGAUGAUCAGCCACACUGGGACUGAGACACGGCCCAGACUCCUACGGGAGGCAGCAGUGGGGAAUAUUGGACAAUGGGCGAAAGCCUGAUCCAGCCAUGCCGCGUGAGUGAAGAAGGCCUUAAGGGUUGUAAAGCUACUUUCAGCGGGAAGAU
Molecule: ribosomal RNA, 396 nt
Filed under: uncultured bacterium
Lineage: Bacteria
Description: bacterial SSU rRNA
Rfam family: Bacterial small subunit ribosomal RNA
Source: RNAcentral